AUGAUCACGGCAAGGAUCCUUGUCGUGAUCUUUCUUAAAUUCAUAGGAAAUAAAAGUGUAAG
This 62-nucleotide small RNA is filed under the name Parachlamydia acanthamoebae. Its description in RNAcentral is "Termite-leu". Lineage: Bacteria; Pseudomonadati; Chlamydiota; Chlamydiia; Parachlamydiales; Parachlamydiaceae. The record is from RNAcentral.